Non-coding RNA from Oncorhynchus mykiss (rainbow trout), 2106 nucleotides. Lineage: Eukaryota; Metazoa; Chordata; Actinopteri; Salmoniformes; Salmonidae. The record is from RefSeq and is a predicted model, not a curated record.
GCUCCUUGAGGGAGAGUGCGCUGGUAAAGGGAGGGAGGGAAUGAGGCAAACAAGAAACAUGUAAUCACCCAAACAACCGUUUUAGUCCUUUCCCCCUGGAUUUGUGUCGUAAGAUAGCCUACAGUAUCUACUUCAAAGGAUACACAGGGGGCCGCGAGACUGUUACAAUGGGACUUGAAGCUUUUGGGAGAAUUGGCACCUGAAUCGGAGAGAGGUUUGUGCAGAGCGUCCCCAUCCACCACGACAACUGUGUUUCCAAGGUGACGUUAUUGAGCUUGUAAAUAAGAAGAGCCAGACAUCAUAGAACCUGAAGGAUAUGGGCCACAGACAGCAAACGUAUAAUUAGAGCUGUAUGGUACGAAGUUUUCUAAAAUGUCCAAGCUGGAGGAUAAUCUCUCCCGAUGGGACCUUAUGGAUCCUUGAGGCACAUUUAUUCAACACGAGGAAAGAUACCUACAUACAACGUUUCAAGUCUCUAGGUCAAAUGGGGUGACAGAUAUGAGUGUUUAAGUAAGGCUGCUUAUUGUACCGCCCCUAUAGGCCAAUCGGUGCCAUUGUUUUUGACCAAUUUACUCAUGGCCUCUAAAUUCUGUGUGGGGGGAGACUGGUGCCCAAAACUGAUGACGUAUGUCGUGCAGUGAGAGUUGUGAGAGAGUGGGGACGGUUCAGUCUGUCUCCUUAUGAGCACUCCCCAGCUAGCUAGUUUAUGCUUGUGGCGUGAAACUUCAAAAAUAAUUUGAAACUUGUCUGCCGAAGUUGGGACCUGGGAAAGUGUUCAGAAUUAUUAUAUAUUUUCUUACACAAAAAUGUUGACGUUAAUGGCGUAGUUGUACAUUUUCGGUGAAAAUUUCCACAAUAAAUGUGCUGUAGCUGUCAUCCUGGCCUGAUAUGGGUUGCACUAUCUAGCUACUUCCCUCUCCUUACUGCAGGACAGAAAUGCUCGGCAUUAUUCGGCAAAGCAGGAACGAAGGAGACACUGUUGUUGUGUUGUCGGCUCGCUGUGCAAACUCUCCUUAUUGAGCAAUAGACUGCAUCAGGGUGACACCCAGAUGGUUACUACCAAUAUUACAAGUUACUAUAUUACUCGAAGUACAAUCAAGUGGAAUGGAACAAAUUGCCCAUGUUAGCUACAGCCAGCGACAUGUGAUACAGCUGCUGGAUAAAGCAACUACUGCCCAGUGGGAAGAAUCUCAAUGCAACACCAUUGCACUGGUUAUUCAUACCACCGGGUUACGUUGUCUAAUUGGCAUGUCACGGUGACAUCCAGAUGGUGACCAAUUCUGCAAGUUAUUUCUCCCUCGCCCAUCGAAAUAAACAUUGCUUUCUUUUAGUUUGAAUGAGAGCCACGCCGCUGUUGCCACUCCACGUCAUCAUUUUGGGCACCAGGCAUGUCCGUAUAGCCUCUCCCUUAGUCUGCCAAUUUAUUUAUUUUUUGUUGCCAUUGAGGUUUGAGGUUAUUUGAGCAAAAAAUAUUGUUUGAUACCAAUAGGUUUCACAGCUUCGCUGUGAACACCUAAUAAGUUAUAUUUGCAAAAUAAGUUAUUUAAAAAUGUGCUAGCUAAUUGUUAUAAUUUAUAGUUUAUAAUAUUAUAGUUUAUAAUUAUCAUUGUUACAACAUAUAAAAUAUUGUAUUAGGAUACAUUAAUAAGGUAUUGUUUCUUGAUCUCCUUUUCAUUACUUAAGAGUGUCCAUGUUCAAAAUAAAUAAAUACAUUCAAAUUUGAAAUAUCCAUUGAAGAUUGGAGGAUUAUUUCAUUGUCCAAUGUCCAUGAAUGCAGAGCACAAAUGUGCCUUCUGCUUUGCCCCAACCCCUUUUAAAGACACCAAAUUCACCAAAAACUCCAUUAAAAAAACACUUCAAGGCUCAACACACUGGUCCAGCAUCCACUUCAAAAACAUGUCUGGUUGUGUGCAGGCUCUUUUUCUAGCCGGUAGCUAUGUCCACUAGAUCCAGCUGUGGAAUGUCAUGUGAAAGCAUCUGCUCUGUUUCUGAGCUUCCGUUCGCUUGGUCAUUAUGGACAAUUACCGGUUUAAAAUUUGAUAUUGAUGUUCACUUUCGGACACUCAGACACUCUGAUGCAGUUUGAAAGGAUAUUUACUUAUAUAU